GGGUUUGGAUUUGAUUUGGGUUUGGGUUUUGAUUUUAUUUGUGGGAUGGGUUUGAUUUUGGGUUCGGGUUUCGGUUAUUUGUGGACUUGGUUCAGGUUGGGUUUGGAUUUGAUUUGGGUUUGGGUUUUGGUUUUAUGUGUGGAAUUGGUUUGGGUUUGGAUUUAUUUGGGUUCAAGUUUGGGUUUAUUUGGGUUUUGGGUUUAGGUUUAUUUGGGUUUUGGGUUUGGGUUUAUUUGUGGACUUGGUUUGGUUUUGAUUUGGGUUUAUUUGUAGAUUUGGUUUGGGUUCUUAUAUGGACUUGAUUUGGAUUGGGUUUGGGUUUAUUUGUGGAUUUAGUUUGGGUUCUUAUGUGGACUUGGUUUGGGUUAGGUUUGGGUUUGAUUUGAUUUAGAUUUGUAGGUGAACUUGACUCGGAUUUGGAUUCGUAUGUGAACUUGAUUUUCUUUUCAAUUCUAUUUCGGGUUCGAGGCAAUCCUCUUUUGAUUUUGCAAUUUGAUUCGGAUCCGAAGAAAUCCCCUUUUGAUUUUGGUUUGAUUUGGGAUCCAAAGAAAUUCCCGUUUGAUUUCGAUUUGGAUUUGAUUUUCCAAUUCGAUUUGGGGUUCGAAGAAAUCCCUGUUUUAUUUCGAUUUGUAUUUGAUUUUCCAAUUCGAUUUUAUUUGGGGUCCGAAGAAAUUCCCGUUUGAUUCGAUUUAAUUUGGGGUCCGAAGAAAU
This 711-nucleotide long non-coding RNA is filed under the name Ananas comosus (pineapple). Its description in RNAcentral is "long non-coding RNA (ACOM_LNC040616)". The record is from RNAcentral. Lineage: Eukaryota; Viridiplantae; Streptophyta; Magnoliopsida; Poales; Bromeliaceae.